RNAcentral lists this ribosomal RNA (418 nucleotides) under uncultured bacterium. Its description in RNAcentral is "partial 16S ribosomal RNA". It matches the Rfam family "Bacterial small subunit ribosomal RNA", at positions 362 to 773 of the family's 1533-position model. The record is from RNAcentral.
UAUUGGACAAUGGGCGAAAGCCUGAUCCAGCCAUGCCGCGUGUGUGAAGAAGGUCUUCGGAUUGUAAAGCACUUUAAGUUGGGAGGAAGGGCUUUAGGUUAGUCCCCUGAAGUUUUGACGUUACCAACAGAAUAAGCACCGGCUAACUCUGUGCCAGCAGCCGCGGUAAUACGAAGGGUUCAAGCGUUAAUCGGAAUUACUGGCGUAAAGCGCGCGUAGGUGGUUUGUUAAGUUGGAAGUGAAAGCCCCGGGCUCAACCUGGGAACUGCUUUCAAAAAUGGCAAGCUAGAGUAUGGCAGAGGGUGGUGGAAUUUCCUGUGUAGCGGUGAAAUGCGUAGAUAUAGGAAGGAACACCAGUGGCGAAGGCGACUACCUGGACUGAUACUGACACUGAGGUGCGAAAGCGUGGGGAGCAAAC